Molecule: ribosomal RNA, 272 nt
Filed under: uncultured bacterium
Lineage: Bacteria
Description: partial 16S ribosomal RNA
Source: RNAcentral
CUGCUGCCUUCCGUAGGAGUUUGGACCGUGUCUCAGUUCCAAUGUGGGGGACCUUCCUCUCAGAACCCCCUACGCAUCGUCGGCUUGGUGGGCCGUUGCCCCCACCAACUACCUAAUGCGCCGCAUGCCCAUCCGUGACCGGAGUCGCCCCCUUUGGCCGGAAAGGGAUGUCCCUUCCCGGCGUCAUGCUGUAUUAGGCGGGAUUUCUCCCGGUUAUCCAUCUGUCACGGCCAGGUUGCAUACGUGUUACUCACCCGUGCGCCGGUCGCCGG